AAUUUUGGACAAUGGGGGCAACCCUGAUCCAGCCAUCCCGCGUGUGCGAUGAAGGCCUUCGGGUUGUAAAGCACGUUUGGCAGGGAAGAAAAGCCGCGGGUUAAUACCCUGCGGUGCUGACGGUACCUGCAGAAGAAGCACCGCCUACCUACGUGCCAGCCGCCGCGGUAAUACGUAGGGUGCAAGCGUUAAUCGGAAUUACGGGGCGUAAAGCGUGCGCAGGCGGUUCGGCAAGAAGGAUGUGAAAUCCCGGGGCUUAACCUCGGAGCUGCAUUCUUAACUGCCGGGCUAGAGUAUGUCAGAGGGGGGUAGAAUUCCGCGUGUAGCAGUGAAAUGCGUAGAGAUGCGGAGGAAUACCGAUGGCGAAGGCAGCCCCCUGGGAUAAUACUGACGCUCAUGCACGAAAGCGUGGGGAGCAAACA
This 422-nucleotide ribosomal RNA is filed under the name uncultured bacterium. RNAcentral's name for it is "partial 16S ribosomal RNA". It matches the Rfam family "Bacterial small subunit ribosomal RNA", at positions 360 to 774 of the family's 1533-position model. The record is from RNAcentral.